This 125-nucleotide small nucleolar RNA is filed under the name Canis lupus familiaris (dog). RNAcentral describes it as "Small nucleolar RNA SNORA51 (multiple genes)". It matches the Rfam family "Small nucleolar RNA SNORA51". Rfam says of the family: ACA51 is a member of the H/ACA class of snoRNA that guide the sites of modification of uridines to pseudouridines. RNAcentral also lists the same sequence under 1 other name. The record is from Rfam by way of RNAcentral. Lineage: Eukaryota; Metazoa; Chordata; Mammalia; Carnivora; Canidae.
AACCUUAAGGGGGCUUAUCACAGGCUGUUUUUACAAUGAUUGUACAGAAAAAGGAGGCAAAAUAAAUUCACUCGUAUACACCAUUGCCCAGACCCUCUGCCUGUAUUGUGAAUGGGGGGACAUGG